This 495-nucleotide ribosomal RNA is filed under the name uncultured crenarchaeote. RNAcentral's name for it is "bacterial SSU rRNA". It matches the Rfam family "Archaeal small subunit ribosomal RNA", at positions 1 to 480 of the family's 1478-position model. The record is from RNAcentral. Lineage: Archaea; Thermoproteati; Thermoproteota.
UUCCGGUUGAUCCUGCCGGACCCGACCGCUAUCGGGGUGGGGCUAAGCCAUGGGAGUCUACACUCCCGGGAAGGGAGUGUGGCGGACGGCUGAGUAACACGUGGCUAACCUACCCUAAGGAGGUGGAUAACCCCGGGAAACUGGGGAUAAUCCACCAUAGGCGAGGAGUCCUGGAAUGGUUCCUCGCCGAAAGGCCCAUAGACUGUUCCCGUCUAUGGGCGCCUUAGGAUGGGGCUGCGGCCCAUCAGGUAGUUGGGGGAGUAAAGGUCCCCCAAGCCGAUAACGGGUAGGGGCCGUGAGAGCGGGAGCCCCCAGUUGGGCACUGAGACAAGGGCCCAGGCCCUACGGGGCGCACCAGGCGCGAAACGUCCCCAAUGCGCGAAAGCGUGAGGGCGUUACCCCGAGUGCUCCCGCAAGGGAGCUUUUCCUCACUCUAAAAAGGUGAGGGAAUAAGCGGAGGGCAAGUCUGGUGUCAGCCGCCGCGGUAAUACCAGC